RNAcentral lists this small RNA (69 nucleotides) under Flavobacterium sp. 123. Its description in RNAcentral is "Flavo-1 RNA". It matches the Rfam family "Flavo-1 RNA". Lineage: Bacteria; Pseudomonadati; Bacteroidota; Flavobacteriia; Flavobacteriales; Flavobacteriaceae. The record is from Rfam by way of RNAcentral.
CCCUAGCCCUGAUAGUAGCGGCAUCCCACGCUUUUUUUGGCGUGGAUAUAGCGAAUAGCAGGAAAAAGC